Gorilla gorilla gorilla (western lowland gorilla) is the source of this 292-nucleotide non-coding RNA. It matches the Rfam family "7SK RNA". Rfam says of the family: 7SK was discovered as an abundant small nuclear RNA in the mid-70s but a possible function has only recently been suggested. NCBI's taxonomy places the organism in Eukaryota, Metazoa, Chordata, Mammalia, Primates, Hominidae. The record is from Rfam.
GGAAGUGAAGGCAAUCUGGCUGCAAUAUGUGUCACCAGGGUGGAUUGGGCUGAUCUGGCUGGCUAGCUAGGUGUCCCCUUCAUCCCUCACUGCUCCAUGUGCAUCUCUCCCAAAGCUGCACACUCAGUCCAAGAGGACAGCCAACCCCAGUAGAAGAGGACUGGUCUUCAGUCAAACUUAAGUGAAUAGUUAUGCUCCCCUGCUAAAACCUCCAAACAAGCUCUUAAGAUGAUGGAGGAAGAUACAACAGGCCAUUAACAAUAAAACACAUUGAAUAGUUAGGCAAAAAAUU